RNAcentral lists this long non-coding RNA (224 nucleotides) under Lathyrus oleraceus (garden pea). Its description in RNAcentral is "Pisum sativum (pea) long non-coding RNA (PSAT_LNC019383)". The record is from RNAcentral. Lineage: Eukaryota; Viridiplantae; Streptophyta; Magnoliopsida; Fabales; Fabaceae.
UGUGAUAUGAUUAGGGUGAUGAAAUGUGUUAAAUUACUUAGCAUUACAUGAUAUUUUAUAAUGCUUAUUAUAUCGAUUGAGGAACUCACCCUUACAACUAUGUUUCAGGUAACGUGCAGUGAUUGAGUAGAAGCUAGUCCUUGGAGUCUAGUGUAGUUCCUUAGUGAGUCAUGCUCUGGUAGAUGUAACAUCGGGACGGGAUGUUUUGCCUUGUUUUCGGUUUG